Molecule: long non-coding RNA, 398 nt
Filed under: Lathyrus oleraceus (garden pea)
Lineage: Eukaryota; Viridiplantae; Streptophyta; Magnoliopsida; Fabales; Fabaceae
Description: Pisum sativum (pea) long non-coding RNA (PSAT_LNC014195)
Source: RNAcentral
AGGCAAAGCUUCAUCACAUAUCAGAUUCCAUUCCACUUCUAUUUUCCAUUAGGUAAUCAUCUCUUCCAUGGCCAUGUUUUGAUAUAUCUACGCUUGCUUACCAUGUUCAUCACCAUUAAUCCUUCCAUUUUCAUAUUUCUUUUUCUUAUUUAAAAUAUUUUCUUCGUCCAUAAAAUUACCCAAAAAUAUUUUUCACUUUUCUUAACGUUUUAUUUAAUUUUAAAUAAUUUUUAUUUUCGUAUUUUUUAAUAUUAAUAUUUUGUUUUAAUUAUUUAUUCUAAAUGGUCCAUUUUAACACACUUUUUUUAUUGAUUUUAUUUUUACGACUUAAAAUUAUUGUUAGCAUUUGACUUUUGGGAUGAAGGUUGACCACUGUCUCAUGGUCAACCUGACCUUUU